RNAcentral lists this ribosomal RNA (616 nucleotides) under uncultured fungus. RNAcentral describes it as "eukaryotic LSU rRNA". It matches the Rfam family "Eukaryotic large subunit ribosomal RNA", at positions 38 to 667 of the family's 3401-position model. The record is from RNAcentral. Lineage: Eukaryota; Fungi.
GCAUAUCAAUAAGCGGAGGAAAAGAAACCAACAGGGAUUGCCUCAGUAACGGCGAGUGAAGCGGCAAAAGCUCAAAUUUGAAAUCUAGCACCUUCGGUGCUCGAGUUGUAAUUUGAAGAUGGUAACCUUGGGUUUGGCUCUUGUCUAUGUUCCUUGGAACAGGACGUCAUAGAGGGUGAGAAUCCCGUCUGAUGAGAUGCCCAUUCCUAUGUAAGGUGCUAUCGAAGAGUCGAGUUGUUUGGGAAUGCAGCUCUAAGUGGGUGGUAAAUUCCAUCUAAAGCUAAAUAUUGGCGAGAGACCGAUAGCGAACAAGUACAGUGAUGGAAAGAUGAAAAGAACUUUGAAAAGAGAGUGAAAAAGUACGUGAAAUUGUUGAAAGGGAAGGGCAUUACAUCAGACUUGGUGUUUUACGAUUAUCUUCUCUUCUUGAGUUGUGCACUCGUAUUUCACUGGGCCAGCAUCGAUUCGGAUGGCAAGAUAAUGGCAGUUGAAUGUGGCUUCACUUCGGUGGAGUGUUAUAGCUUCUGCUGAUAUUGCCUGUCUGGAUCGAGGGCUGCGUCUUUUGACUAGGAUGCUGGCGUAAUGAUCUAAUGCCGCCCGUCUUGAAACACGGACC